UAAGGACGAGUCUGGAGAAUUGGAACACACUACGGACUCGAACCCAUCAACGGGAACGCGCAAUUCAGGGACACAAGGGUGGAAGUGCGGGUAUUGGGACAGGGCCUGGGUCUCACAUUCUUGUGACCAUCAGCUCUGGCUCUAAGUCCUCAGUUUUGGAUCCUGCCUCAUCCUAAGCACUCAAACCUCAGAAGAAACCCAGUUUGGUUUAAUCUCCAGCUGACAGCUCAAUACCAACUCCGCCAGACAAGCGAACCCUGCUCACCCUCCAAAUGUUCACCAAAGACUCACCAGGUAAAAUCAUCUCAGUUAAAUUAAUCCGGAUUAUUCUACUGCCUAUAGUCACCAAAGCCUCUGCAGAGUACUCACCGUCAUCCUGGAUUAUUCACCGUUUCUGCUGCAGCAUCUGUUCUGUCCUCCCAGGCUCCGCAUCAUUCCUCCACACCAACCUCUAUUCAUCAAACAUGCUGUGCCUCCAAUCCCAGUUCCAGUUCAACAUCCAUUACCUGUCAAAAUAAACUUUUCUUCUGCCUCCUGA
Girardinichthys multiradiatus is the source of this 538-nucleotide long non-coding RNA. RefSeq lists it as uncharacterized. Lineage: Eukaryota; Metazoa; Chordata; Actinopteri; Cyprinodontiformes; Goodeidae. The transcript is spliced from 2 exons. The record is from RefSeq and is a predicted model, not a curated record.